RNAcentral lists this ribosomal RNA (172 nucleotides) under uncultured bacterium. Its description in RNAcentral is "partial 16S ribosomal RNA". It matches the Rfam family "Bacterial small subunit ribosomal RNA", at positions 355 to 525 of the family's 1533-position model. The record is from RNAcentral.
UGGGGAUUUGGCCAUGGGCGCAGCCUGUCCAGCCUGCCGCGUGAGUGAAGAAGGCCUUCGGGUUGUAAAGCUCUUUUGUCGGGGAAGAAACGGAGAGGGCUAAUAUCCGUUGGUAAUGACGGUACCUGAAGAAUAAGCACCGGCUAACUACGUGCCAGCAGCCGCGGUAAUA